This 164-nucleotide ribosomal RNA is filed under the name Munidopsis petalorhyncha. RNAcentral's name for it is "partial 16S rRNA". Lineage: Eukaryota; Metazoa; Arthropoda; Malacostraca; Decapoda; Munidopsidae. The record is from RNAcentral.
GCUUUACAUUUUAUUUAUUUUUACUAAGGAGAGGGGUUAAUUGGUGGGGAUAGAAAAUGGUGUUUUGUUGGGGUGACAAGGACGUAAAUAAAAAACUGUCCAGUAAAGUAAACAAGUAAUAUUUGGAAAAUAAAAGAUCCUUUGUGAAGAUAAAAGUUUAAGUU